GAAUAUUGGACAAUGGGCGAAAGCCUGAUCCAGCAAUGCCGCGUGAGUGAUGAAGGCCUUAGGGUUGUAAAGCUCUUUUACCCGGGAUGAUAAUGACAGUACCGGGAGAAUACGCCCCGGCUACCUCCGUGCCAGCAGCCGCGGUAAUACGGAGGGGGCUAGCGUUGUUCGGAAUUACUGGGCGUAAAGCGCGCGUAGGCGGCUUUGCAAGUUAGAGGUGAAAGCCCGGAGCUCAACUCCGGAACUGCCUUUAAAACUGCAUCGCUAGAACGAUGGAGAGGUAAGUGGAAUUCCGAGUGUAGAGGUGAAAUUCGUAGAUAUUCGGAAGAACACCAGUGGCGAAGGCGACUUACUGGACAUCUGUUGACGCUGAGGUGCGAAAACGUGGGGAGCAAACAGG
This 400-nucleotide ribosomal RNA is filed under the name uncultured bacterium. Its description in RNAcentral is "bacterial SSU rRNA". It matches the Rfam family "Bacterial small subunit ribosomal RNA", at positions 359 to 776 of the family's 1533-position model. The record is from RNAcentral.